GUCUAACUGCUUAUUAAACUCAUAUAAGAUAGACCAUCGUUAUUUCAACUUAGAAGUUAUUAAUUGUUGUCUUAGAAAAACAAACAUGUUUUAAAGUGUUUCUGACGCACAUCUUGUCAAAUAAACAACUUCUGGACAUCCGUAUCCGUAUCCAUAUUUAGGUAUAUAACGACAUCUACGUUAUUUACCGACUGAAGAGAAUUUCUGGCUUAUAAGGCUGCAACCAAGUGGUAUAAAAGAAGACGUCUGUGUUGAUUUUCUACCUGCAUCAAGGAGGUUAACAAUAUCCACAAUGAAGGCAAAUUUAUUCUGCACGUUCUUGGUCUUCUUUUUGGCAGCAUCGCACGGAAUUUUUGGUAUUGGUGGUGUCGGACACAUGUACGAGUAUAAUGACGGAAUUAUGGGCGAUAUGGAGAUGGAUGUAAACAGGGGAAACGGCCUAGAUGGUGGAAUGAUCUGCGUUUGCCUAGAUAGACCUUGGCAGACAUGGUGCCCAAGUGGAUAUAGGGAGUGGGGCACAUGCUACAAUAUACGUUAUUGGAAGCCGAAAAAAUGCUGCAAAGGAUAGCAGAGCAAUAUUCAUAGGACAAGCACCAUGGAGGAAUGAUUUGACUGGCAAAAUAUAUCGAUUAAUAAUUAUUUUAAUCUUUGCAUUUAGAAAAACACAAAUAAAUAUCAAUAUUUAA
Long non-coding RNA from Dreissena polymorpha, 686 nucleotides. RefSeq lists it as uncharacterized. The record is from RefSeq and is a predicted model, not a curated record. The transcript has 4 exons. Lineage: Eukaryota; Metazoa; Mollusca; Bivalvia; Myida; Dreissenidae.